Molecule: ribosomal RNA, 276 nt
Filed under: uncultured bacterium
Lineage: Bacteria
Description: partial 16S ribosomal RNA
Rfam family: Bacterial small subunit ribosomal RNA
Source: RNAcentral
UUUCUCCGCCGGCGACCGGCGCACGGGUGAGUAACACGUAUGCAACCUGCCCCCUGUCAGGGGGACAACCCGCCGAAAGGCGGGCUAAACCCGCGUACAUGCCACCGGGGCAUCCCGGAGGCAGGAAAGGCUUCGGCCGGACAGGGAUGGGCAUGCGGCGCAUUAGGCAGUAGGCGGGGUAACGGCCCACCUAACCGACGAUGCGUAGGGGUUCUGAGAGGAAGGUCCCCCACACUGGUACUGAGACACGGACCAGACUCCUACGGAAGGCAGCAG